UCACGCUUUUGAUUUUAACUUGAUAAUUAAACUCGCGGAUCCAUAUUUUAUUUCCGUAAUGUCAAAGAACGUUACAAUAUUAUUAUCUGUGAUGU
Neodiprion fabricii is the source of this 95-nucleotide long non-coding RNA. RefSeq lists it as uncharacterized. NCBI's taxonomy places the organism in Eukaryota, Metazoa, Arthropoda, Insecta, Hymenoptera, Diprionidae. The record is from RefSeq and is a predicted model, not a curated record. The transcript is spliced from 3 exons.